AGUUCACAUCGACGGGGAGGUUUGGCACCUCGAUGUCGGCUCAUCGCAUCCUGGGGCUGUAGUCGGUCCCAAGGGUUGGGCUGUUCGCCCAUUAAAGCGGUACGCGAGCUGGGUUCAGAACGUCGUGAGACAGUUCGGUCCCUAUCCGUCGUGGGCGUAGGAAAUUUGAGAGGAGCUGUCCUUAGUACGAGAGGACCGGGAUGGACAUACCUCUGGUGUACCAGUUGUCGUGCCAACGGCAUAGCUGGGUAGCUAUGUAUGGACGGGAUAAGUGCUGAAAGCAUCUAAGCAUGAAGCCCCCCUCAAGAUGAGAUUUCCCAACUUCGGUUAUAAGAUCUCUCGAAGAUGACGAGGUUAAUAGGUUCGAGGUGGAAGCGUGGUGACACGUGGAGCUGACGAAUACUAAUCGAUCGAAGACUUAAUCAAUUUUUAAA
Molecule: ribosomal RNA, 434 nt
Filed under: Staphylococcus epidermidis
Lineage: Bacteria; Bacillati; Bacillota; Bacilli; Caryophanales; Staphylococcaceae
Description: bacterial LSU rRNA
Rfam family: Bacterial large subunit ribosomal RNA
Source: RNAcentral